This is a non-coding RNA of Rattus norvegicus (Norway rat), 189 nucleotides long. The record is from Rfam. Lineage: Eukaryota; Metazoa; Chordata; Mammalia; Rodentia; Muridae.
GCCGAGAAGCCCUGGAGGCCCAGUGAGCACGGGGAGGGGCUAGAGACUGGCUGGACAACCAUUAGAGAGCUGGGGCCGGGAGGCUAGGGGACUACAUUUCCCAGGACGCCAAGCGGUCGGGUCCGGAAACGACGGACUUUGGGCUAAGUGCGCAGGCGCACGCGCCGCCGUGGUCUAUAUAAAGAAGGU